Homo sapiens (human) is the source of this 7338-nucleotide long non-coding RNA. RefSeq lists it as uncharacterized. The transcript has 3 exons. Lineage: Eukaryota; Metazoa; Chordata; Mammalia; Primates; Hominidae. The record is from RefSeq and is a predicted model, not a curated record.
GACUGACUCGGCUAUCCCUUUCAACCCUGGCGUCCCAUAUCCUUCCCACGGUGGCCUUCUUGCCGCUUUGUGGUGCCCCCUGUGGGCGAGACAGGCACCUUGCGUGCAAGCCAGGGACUCCACGAUAUUCCCAGACCCACCGCAGAGGCUGCCUGGAAGACCGUGUUAUCCAUGGCAGAACCCCAGCAUCCCCUCUUUAUUCCCCAGGCUGCCUCAACGUCCACCUUCGAACCUGACGUGCUGUCUCCUUCCCCUGAGAAGCUACUCGCUGCUUUGGGGUGCCCCCCAUGGGCCCCUGGGUGUAAGACUGGGACUCAACAACCCCUCCGUGUCCGGCAAAGGGGUUGCACCCCAAAGUCGCAAGUAGGCCUCCGGGGGAACGGAACAGGAAGACAGGCUUUAAUGGGGACGCUGAGGCAGCACGGAGAGAAAAGAGGCUAGCCGGGUUCCUCCCAUGGAUGACAGUGCCUUCCUGGCAGCCCAUGCGUAGGGCCCUGGGGGAGCGUGGAGUCCCUGUCUUGCACCCAGGAUGCGUGUCUCGCCCACGGGAGGCACCCCAAAGCUUCAAACAGGCCCCCAGGGGAAGGGGACAGCACGUCAGACUUGAAGGGGGACGUUGAGGUAGCCUAGGGUAAAAAACCGUGACGCUGGUUCUCCCACGGACGACAGUGCCUUCCUGGCUGCCCAUUCGCUGGGCCGGGGAGGUCUUGGCGUCCCUGGCUUGCAUCCCGGGUGUGUGUCUCGCCCAGGGGUGGCACCACAAAGCAUCAAGGAGGCCCCGGGGGAAGGGUACCAGACGCCAGGGUUGAAAAGUUUAGUUGAGGCAGUCCCGGAAAAAAGCGGCGGUCCAGUGUCCACCCAAGGACAACCGUGUCUGCCCAGCAGCCCCUGCACCGGGCCCGGGGUGGUCGUGGAGUCCCUGGCCUACACCUGGGGUGCGUGUCGCGCCCACAGUGAGCACCCCAAAGCAGUAAAAGUCCCCCAGUGGAAGGCAACAGGAAAUCAGCCUUGAACGGGGACCUUUAGGUAGCCCAGAGAAAAAAGCGGCGAGGCUGAGGUGAUCCCAGGGAUAACAGUGCCUUCCCGACAGCCCUGCGCCGGUCCUGGCGGUGUCGUAGAGUCCCUGGCUUGUACUCAAGAGUGUGCAUCUCGCCCUCAGGAGGCACCCCAAAGAGGCAAGAAGGUCCCCGGGGGAAGGGGACAGGAUGUUAGGCUUAAAAGGGGACUUUGAGGCAAUCCAGGGAAAUAAGCAGUAAGCCAGGGUCCUUCGAACGACAGUGCCUUCGCGGCAGCCUCUCGCCCUGCCCAGUGGGGUUCUGGAGUCGCUGGCUUGCACCCAGGUUGCGUGUCGCUUCCACGGGAAGCACCCCAAAGCACCAAGAAGGCCUCUGUUGGAAGGGAAGAGGGCGCCAGGCCUGAAACGGAACGUUGAGGUAGCACGGGGAAAAAAGCAGCGGGCCGCGGACGUCCCACAGACGACAGUGCCUUUCCGGCAGUCCCUGCACCAGGCCCGGGGUCGUCGUGGAGUCCCUGGCUGCACCCAGGGUGCAUGUCGCACUCACGGGGGACACCUCAAAGCCUCAAGAAGGCCUCCGGGGGAAGGAAACGGGACGCCGGGCUUGAAAGGGGACGUUGAGGCAGUCCGGGGUAAAAACUUCCCACGGAUGACAGUGCCUUUCUGGCAGCCCCUUUGCCCUGCAUGGGGAUGGUUGUUGAUUCCCUGGUUUGCACCCAGGGUGAGUGUCUCCCCCAUGGGGGGCACCCCAAAGCGAAAAGAAUGUUCCCCGGGGAAGGGUACAGCACGUCAGGCUUGAAGGGGGACGUUCAGGCAGCCCCGGGGAAAAAAGCGGGGAUACUGGGGUCCGCUCAUGGACGACAUUGCCUUCCCGGCAGCCUCUGCGGUGGGCCCAGGAGCUGCGUGGAGUCCCUGGCUUGCACCCAGCUUGCAUGUCUCACCCACGGGGCGCACCACAAAGAGGCAAGAAGGCCACCGGGGGAAGGGCACAGGACAUCAGGGUUGAAAGGCAUAGUUGAAGCAGUACGGGAAAAAAAGAGGAGGGAUGGUGUCUUCCCACGCACGACAGAGCCUUCCCGGCAACCCCUGCGCUGGGCCCGGAGGGAUCGUGUAGUCCCUGGCUUGCACCCAUGGUGCGUGUCGUUCCCACAGGGGCACCCCAAAGUGGUAAGAAGGCCUCCCAGGGAAGGGAACAAGACGCCAGGCUUUAAAGAGGACGCUGAGGCAGCACGGCGAAAAAUGCGGCCAGCCGGUUUCCUCCCAUGAUGGCAAUUCCUUCCCGGCAGUCCCUGGCUUCCUCCCAGGGUGCGUGUCUCUCCCACUAAGUGCACCCCAAAGCGGCAAGUAGUCCCCUGGGGGAAGGGGACAGCACUUCAGGCUUCAAGGGGGACAUUGAGGCAGCCCGGGGAAAACAACCUCGAGGCUGGGAUUCUCCCACGGACGACAGUGCCUUCCUGGCGGCCCCUGCGCCGGGCCGAGGGUUUCAUGGAGUCCCUGGCUUGCACCCAGGGUAAGAGUCUCGCCCACGGGGGCCACCCCAAGGCAGCAUGAAUACCUGCGGGGGAAGGGAACAGGAGGCCAGGCUUGAAAGGAGACGUUGAGGCAGUCGGGAGGGAAAACAAUCCCAUGGAGAACAGUGCCUUCCCGGCAGUGUCUGUGCCGGACUCGGGGUGGUCGUGGAGUCCCUGGCUUGCACCCAGGGGGCGUGUCUUUCAAGCGGGGUACUUUUCCCCAGGGGAAUUGUUGUUGCUAUGGGGUGCCCCCUGAGGGCGAGACACACAACCUUUGUGCAAGACAGGGACUCCAGGGCCCCCCAGCCCGCCGCAGGGGCUGCCCGGAAUGCACUGUCUUCCCUGAGAAGUUUUUCCACGGACUGCCUCAACGUCCCCUUUAAAGCCAGCUCCCAUCCCCCGCUGCCUUCUUGACACUUUAGGGUGCCCCCGUGGGUGAGACAGGCACCCUGGGUGCAAGCCAGGGAAUCCUUGCCUGAGGCCUGGGUGUCUCUCGUGUCCUCACAACAGGAGUUUACACGAAGUUGGUGGCCAUGGGAAUCCGGGUUCACAAGGAUGUUUCCCUGGUAGCUGGCAAAGGCAAUGUUCUUCCCUGGAAAAAGCAGCCCGUGCGUUCUGGAGGAGGUCUUGGCUGGCGUCUGUGGGACCCUCUGCCCCUGCCCACCCCUUCCCCAGCCUCGGGCGUUUGCGGCGGCGCCAGAUGAGUGAAUUAAAUUACCUAGGCCUUCCUGGAGCAGGAAGACAACCAGCAUGGCAGGGAACCUGGGCCUGCGCCUUUGGGGUCUGGUGCUGGCCUGCCCCGCCCUGCCUAGAGCUGGGGACCUUGUGGAGCUGCAGCAAGGCAGAAGAGGUGGGAUGCUGCUGCCCGGCGGUGUACGAGGAGGUCCUGGUGUGCGGUGGGGACGCAGGCAGGUGGAAAAUGGGUAGCAGAGUCAGGGAGUGGUUGGGAAGUAGGGCACAAAAGGGAGAAAGAGGGAGCGGGAAGCCAAAAGCCUACAGCACCUUGUAUUCCCAGGCGGUCUCUCUUCCAAGUACUGAACCAGGCCCCACCCUGCUUAGCGUCACAGGCCAGAGAUCAGGUGUCUCAGGGCGGUAAGGCCUUAGACACCCGCAGUGAUACCUGGCUGACACAAGAGCCUGGCCCACCAUGCCCGCCAGACUCCAGGCAUUACCGCCACUCCAAAGCCACGCGGCUUGGAUCGGGACAACUCUAAGCCACUCCUCGCCUGCUGCUCGGCUGCUCUCCCCCUCCACGCCGGAGCACUGUGGGCCACCGCGCUGCACCUUCUGCCGGCUUCCAAGGGGCUCCAGCCAUAGCAGACAAGGCCAUGCACUGGACCAUCUCGGCGCCGCCCUGCUGCUGAGUGAGGACGCCAGAGGUGUCCAUCCGCUGCACAGACUUCGGGCUCUCUGGUUGGUCUCCAUUCCUCCGACGCUUCAGGGCUUCCCCAGGCUCAUGAACUCCCAAGCUUCCACCACAUCGGGCUUGCUGAGCUUGUGCUCCCAGGAGUCAGGGAUACCCUUCUGUCCUCCUUGCCACGGAGGGAUUGUUUUGGUUCCCUCGCCGCCCCUCCUGCAAGGCCCCCUCUCUCCUCACCCACCCAGUGCUGCCAGGGCUGCUCAAGGGUGAACAGGUGGCCUAGCCCCAUGGGCCCUUUCUCUUACAACGUCCCUAACAGGGUCGCUUGUCCGGACAAGGACAUGGCCCAUGGCCAAGUGAGUGGGGGGAGCUGCUUUGCCCCGCGCUGCCACUGGAGCUAGCCGACUGAUUGCGGGAGAGAGAGGCUGAUGGACAGCCAGACACACCUCACCAGCACCAAGAAGAAACCCACCCCCACCCCCACAGACACACAUGGAUGCACGCUCGCGGGCACACAGAGACACACACAGAUACACAAAGAUACAGAUAGACAGCUUGAAGGAGAUCAAGGGAAAGAGGGAUGGAGAGAUAGAAACUGAGGGAGAGAGAGCUAGAGAGAGAGAGAGAGACAGGAAUGAGAGGGAGAAAGAAAGAGAGAGAAGGUGACAGAAAGAGCAUGAGAUGGAGGGAGCAGGAGAGAAAUAGAGAGAGGGUGACAGAACUAGAGAGCCAGAGCAUUAAAGCCUGGGAGAGGGAGCUCUCUGCUCUCGUAGACAGGGCUCCUUCCAGCAGGGGUAGGGUGGAGGGUGCUUGAGCCUGGCGGGAACAGGUGGGCAGGCCGCCCAUGCAAGAGGACCAACAGAACCCUGAGACGUAUUUUUGCUUGGAUUGGUUGCUUGCUUUUGGGGUGCGUUUCAUAGGGUCCUUUUGUUGGCUACUCCCUAUCUUCUUGGUGCAGUGGGCACCGAGAUUUGGAGAGUGCGUCCUUCCCUCUGGUGGGAGCCCUGGCGCAGAGCGUGCCGACCGGGCCGAGGCCUGGGUCUCUCUCGUGUCCUCAGGACUGGAGUUGACACGAAGACGGUGCCAAUGGGAAUCCGGGUGCACAGAGACGGAUUGCCUCGUGACUGGCGAAGGCAAUGUCCUUCCCCUGGGGAAAGCAGCCCAUAGGUCCAGGAGCAGAGGUUUUGGAUGGUGUCUGUGGGACCUCUGUCCCUGGCCGCCACUUCCCCCACCGGCUUGAACUAUUGCAUGGUGCCAGAUGAGUAAAUUGAAUUGCCUGGGCGUCCCGGGAGCGUGAAGACACGGGUCACCUCAGGGAACAUAUACCGUCCUGCCACGGCUGGAGCCGGGCACCUGGUGGGGCUGCAGCAAGAAGGAGGAUGUGGGAUGCUGUUGCCUGGCGGUGCUGCAGCGGUGGAACCCCACGAGGAGGUCCCGGGUUGCUUUGGGGCCGCAGUACUCCCUUCAGCAUUCCUUGUAGGACAGUCAUGGUAUUGAUGAAAUCCUUCAACUUUUGUUUGUCUGGAAAAGUCAGUAUUUCUUCUUAUUAUUUGAAGGACAUUUUCGCUGUAUAUGCUAUUCUAAGGAUUUGUCGCUGAUGCCUUACUUCAUUCACUUUGUGAGGUCAUGUUUUCCUGGAUGGUGACAAUGCUAGCAGAUGUUCUUCAGUGUCUGGACAUUAAAACUUUGGCAUGCAGCACCACAUAAGAUGUGAAAAAAAGAUUUUUUUUAAAAAAAAGAUGAGCAUUAAUUGUAGACUUCACUGUGUGGGGUUAUUCGUAGCUAUCUUUCUUGGGAAGGAUUUCCACAUAUUUGAAAAGGCAGGUGUUGUGAUCUAAGCCAUAUCUGCUUUAGGGGGCACCGUAUACCCAAUAGUGCUGUAAUUUUUGCAGUCUCAUUGAUGUACCACCUUGACAGUCUUGGACAAUAUCCAGGAAAAUUUUCUGGAUUAGUAGCCAGAGACUCUUGUUCUCUAACCUUAUUUUCCCUCAAAGAUACAGAGUCUUUCUCUCUAUUCUAAGCCACCUAAAGUUGGGAGGAGAAUGACACGAGCACCCCUGGCCGCCACCACUGGCUGCCCUGGGUCAGACCUGAAGCUGGCAUAGCACCGGGUCUUGCUCAAGUCCUGCUGCACGCACUUUCUGACAACUGUCUAUGUUCACUCAAGGCCUUUGGUCUCUGCAAUUAGCAGGUGGCAAAGCCAGCCAUAUCUGUGCUCUUUCCUUCAGGGCAGCGAGUUUCCUCAGUCCCUGGCUGGGUCCAGAAGUGCCAUUCGGAAGUCAGGGAGUAAAGUCAAAAAUUUCAGAAGUCCACCGGACAUUCUAUUGCAUUCCAGCUGAGCUGGCAUUCAAACCACAAGACACAGCCCUUCCUAUUACCUCCUUUCCUUUUCCAAAGGCAGAGUAGCCCCAAGCACCCCAGGCCACAAGGAGUACUGCCAUGUUACCACCUUUGUUCCUUUAAGGCCCAAAUCCUCUUUUCCGCUUGUGAUGAAUAUUGCCUGGACUGGGACUUGCCGUUUUCAGGCCACUGGUCUCCCCACUGGCCCUGGGCAGGUUCAUAUAUGCCAACCAAGAAUCAAGUCCUAGAAUCAGGGAUCCCAAAACCUUUCUUGGUGCUCUACCCACCUCUGGCCUUGCCGGUACUUAAGUGGCAUGAAAAAGUCCCCUUUACUUUUCCCUCUGCCUUUCCCAAGCAAAAGGAGUUUUGCCCCUUAGAUACCACAGCUUGUAAUGUGCUGAAUCUCACCUAAAUCUAGUAAGUCUAUGAGGCUCACACAAGCCUCUUGAUGUAGUAUCUGGGUAUGGCUGCUGGUUAUUCAGGGCCCAAAGGUUGUUAAGUUUGCAGGUGAUAAAUGCUGCCAGCACUGGGUUCUUUCCUUCAAGGCAGCAGGUUUCCUUCUGGCCCGGGGUGUGUCUUGGAAUGUCUAGGAGCCAGAGCCUGGAAAGGAGGACUCAGGACUCUGACCAGUGCACUAUCUUGCUGUGGUUGAGCUGGUAUCCAGGAUGGAAGACAAAGUCCUCCCUACUCUUUUUCCUCCUCUCCUCAAGCAGAAGGAUGGGGUCCCUUUUGGAGCUAUAAGCUGUGCAGCCUGGUAUUAGGAGAGUGAUAAUUCCAGAACCCCUUUGGCUGCCCCAGCUGGUGUCUCAGUAUGUUGCAUGACCUCCCACCUUAGUUGACUGUUCCUGGGUCCAGUUCAGCCCUAGGCCUCACCUAAGAGUUGCAGUCCUGAUGGCCUAGGCUGCCUUUCAAGUUUUCUUAGAUACAUGGAGCUCUGGAGCCCUCAGUACCCAGAUUUCCAAAUGCUCAAGUUCCAACCACCGAAAUCUCAUUCCCCUCUGGCCAGGGCUGGUUUAAAUAAUCCCUCUGUGGAUGGGCUUUAGCUGCAUUUGGUUUGGUUUUCCUUUCUGGUCUAACAGGGCAGCACAGAGUUCAAUGUCUUAAAAUUUCUG